GAUGAACGCUGGCGGCGUGCCUAAUACAUGCAAGUCGAGCGAACAGAUGAGGAGCUUUUGCCUCUUUCGUUAGCGGCGGACGGGUGGGUAACUCGCGGAUAACCUACCUAUAAGUCUGGGAUAACUACGGGAACCCGGAUCUAACACCGGCUAAUAUAUUGAACCGCAUGGUUCAAUAGUGAAAGACGGUUUUUCUUUCUCUUAUAGAUGGAUCCGCGCGGCAUUAGCUUGUUGGUAAGGUAACGGCUCACCAAGGCAACGAAGCGUAGCGGACCUGAGAGGGUAGUAAGCCACACUAGAACUGAAACACGGCCCAGACUACAACGGGACGCAGCAGAGGGGAAAGUUACGCAAUGGGAGAAGGCCUAGCGGGGCAACGCCGAGUGAGGGACGAAAGUCUUGGGAUCGGAAAUCUCUGCUGUUAGGGAAGAAGAAAUGUGUAAGUAACUAUGCGCGUCUUGACGGUACCCAAUCAGAAAGCCACGGCUAACUACGUG
This 497-nucleotide ribosomal RNA is filed under the name uncultured bacterium. RNAcentral describes it as "partial 16S ribosomal RNA". It matches the Rfam family "Bacterial small subunit ribosomal RNA", at positions 28 to 507 of the family's 1533-position model. The record is from RNAcentral.